Molecule: long non-coding RNA, 648 nt
Filed under: Bos taurus (domestic cattle)
Lineage: Eukaryota; Metazoa; Chordata; Mammalia; Artiodactyla; Bovidae
Description: long non-coding RNA NONBTAT017980
Source: RNAcentral
CAUACGGAAAAGUAAACCACUGGUGAUACGAUAGAAGCUUCCAAGGGAACAGUGCCCUCACCACGAUUGGGUUUGGGGAUAUAUCCAUUCACUUUAGGAGACCAGACCACUGGGUGAUUUUAAGAUUUACAUGAAUGUUAUAGGGGUUUUAAGUAGCCUAUUUUAUAUUUUUACCCUAAUAUUUUAAAAAUCUAACAUGAAACAAGUUAUUCUUCUCUUGGUCAGGAAGUCUUCAGUUGGUUAGAUGAAGGGCUAAACGAAGGUUUUGGGGACUGCCUACUGCUUCCUCUCUACUAUUCCUUAUUCUCUCCCCAAUACCCUGUUCCCCAGUCCCAUUGUUGUCUUUUUUCAUUUUAGCCUUAGCAUAAAGUAAGUCAGAAAUAAAAAUUUGUUACUUACUAAAACUUGAAAUAAUCUUUUGCUGUUAAACCAAGGUAAACUCUAUGUCUAGUCUGUGGCCUCAAAUAAAUGAAUGUAUUGUUAACUUUUGUAGGCAACAGUCAAUUUUCUUAAAAACAACAAAAAAAAGUAAAUACCACAUUGACUAACAUGCUAAACGGGGGAAUUAAUAUCAUUAUAUAUUUGUCUGUGUGUUUUGUCUCAUGGUUCAUCAGUAGGCCUAUUCCUGCUUUGUCUAGGAUCAUUCUG